CGGUUCCUGAUACAACACUUGUCCAACACUAUGGACAACUUCUUUUGCAUGGAAACAGUCAAACAUUAGAUGAAGCAAGAGGAAUCUUUUUUAUUGGAUAUUUUAUAUAUUUACCUUUCAAAUGUUAUUCCCUUUCUCCCCUCAUCCAUUGCCCCUCUCCCUACCUUUGCUUCUAUGAAGAUGCUCCCACUCCUACCCACCAACUCCCAUGUCAAUGCCCUGGGGAAACGAUCCUUCACAGGAACAAGGACUUCUGCUCCUAUUGAUGCCAGGAAUUGAGGGACUCGAAGAGGAUGGGGACAAUUCAGGAAGACAAACACAGUCAACUAAUGAAUCCUUGGAAACUCCUAAAGACUGAAUCACCAAACAAAAGAACAAAAGAUGAGCACAGGCUUGACCUAGGACCCUCGCUCUCUGGUAGCCUUCUCCAAAAGUGUCUAAUUGUUCUCCAAAUGUUCUGACAGCUCCCACGUCAAAAUAGAAAAAAAGUUGUUAUAUAAAGGGCCUGAUUGAAUACAGCAAAUACAGAGGCGAAUGCCAGCAGCAAACCACUGAACUGAGA
RNAcentral lists this small RNA (562 nucleotides) under Rattus norvegicus (Norway rat). RNAcentral describes it as "uncharacterized LOC102551358". The record is from RNAcentral. Lineage: Eukaryota; Metazoa; Chordata; Mammalia; Rodentia; Muridae.